Mastomys coucha (southern multimammate mouse) is the source of this 313-nucleotide long non-coding RNA. RefSeq lists it as uncharacterized. NCBI's taxonomy places the organism in Eukaryota, Metazoa, Chordata, Mammalia, Rodentia, Muridae. The record is from RefSeq and is a predicted model, not a curated record. The transcript is spliced from 2 exons.
UGCCAUGCUCCCACCUUGAUGAUGAUGGACUAAAAAAACUCUGAACCUUCCAACCUAGGUCACAUUCCUCUCACGUUGGUUGCCGCAUCCUCUGAAGGGGUUACGUCAAGGGAAAUUCGACACCCACCCUUCUCAUUUGCUCUUGGAUUUGCACACUCAUCAGAAGACUAGAGCCAUUUGAUACUUCACAAGAUGAUUGUCCCUUAGCAGACACUAAGGGAAGGGGGAGUCACCUGACCCUCGCAUCUGGUAACUGCGUCCUGUUCCCAUUUCUACUGUUGACUCAAUAAAUGCCCUUGGGCAAGUCACUGAA